RNAcentral lists this ribosomal RNA (37 nucleotides) under Tulasnella sp. YK-2009. RNAcentral's name for it is "Epulorhiza sp. YK-2009 partial 18S ribosomal RNA". Lineage: Eukaryota; Fungi; Basidiomycota; Agaricomycetes; Cantharellales; Tulasnellaceae. The record is from RNAcentral.
CGUAGGUGAACCUGCGGAAGGAUCAUAGUAAUCGUCU